This 301-nucleotide ribosomal RNA is filed under the name uncultured bacterium. RNAcentral describes it as "partial 16S ribosomal RNA". It matches the Rfam family "Bacterial small subunit ribosomal RNA", at positions 509 to 807 of the family's 1533-position model. The record is from RNAcentral.
CAGUCGCCGCGGGAAUACGUAGGUGGCAAGCGUUGUCCGGAAUUAUUGGGCGUAAAGGGCUCGCAGGCGGUUUCUUAAGUCUGAUGUGAAAGCCCCCGGCUCAACCGGGGAGGGUCAUUGGAAACUGGGAAACUUGAGUGCAGAAGAGGAGAGUGGAAUUCCACGUGUAGCGGUGAGAUGCGUAGAGAUGUGGAGGAACACCAGUGGCGAAGGCGACUCUCUGGUCUGUAACUGACGCUGAGGAGCGAAAGCGUGGGGAGCGAACAGGAUUAGAUACCCCUGUAGUCCCUGUCUCUUAUAC